RNAcentral lists this transfer RNA (74 nucleotides) under Capsicum annuum. It matches the Rfam family "tRNA". Rfam says of the family: Transfer RNA (tRNA) molecules are approximately 80 nucleotides in length. Their secondary structure includes four short double-helical elements and three loops (D, anti-codon, and T loops). The record is from Rfam by way of RNAcentral. Lineage: Eukaryota; Viridiplantae; Streptophyta; Magnoliopsida; Solanales; Solanaceae.
UGAAUUGUAGUUCAAUCGGUCAAAGCAUCGCCCCGUCAAGGCGGAAACUGUGGGUUCGAGCCCCGUCAGUCCCG